CGUGAUCAUCGAAACUUUGAACGCACCUUGCGCUCCCGGGAUAUGCCUGGGAGCAUGCUUGUCGGGGAGGA
Molecule: ribosomal RNA, 71 nt
Filed under: Turbinaria gracilis
Lineage: Eukaryota; Phaeophyceae; Fucales; Sargassaceae
Description: partial 5.8S ribosomal RNA
Source: RNAcentral